RNAcentral lists this ribosomal RNA (801 nucleotides) under uncultured bacterium. Its description in RNAcentral is "partial 16S ribosomal RNA". The record is from RNAcentral.
GAGAGGGUAUACCAGCUGGACGUCCSCCCSCSCUUAAGUGAUCACUAAUCUCAAACUAGGACCGAGUCUUGCUUGCGACCGCCGUACGGAUUGUGUACGUUCAGCUUGCUCUGGAAGCCCAGAUCACCGCGUGCCCACGCAUUGCGCACCCUUAGACGGGAACCCAAGCCUUAUUGAGCGGCUUUCCACYGAUUAUGGCCUACUACAGCUUUCUGGUUUCUAAAUAGCGGGUUCCUACUCGGGCGCAUCCUAAUCGAUCAACCACUCCAUUUCCGAGUGGUUCCGCUGCUAGGAAUCGACCAGACUCUCCUACUAGUCGGUGUGACCCUGACUCUGUGCCGGGUCUGAGGAUGCCCUCCGUCGUCACCCCUUAUAACGUGUUACCCGCCUUCGGACUACGUCGCUGCGGCGCACUCCCUACUGCCGGAAGCCCAACAUUUGGAGAAAGCUGUCCCUGCUUCGCGUUCACUGCCAUGGACAUCUUCUUCGUGGCCGGUUGAUGCACGGUCGUCGGCGCCAUUAUGCAUCCCACGCUCGCAACAGGCCUUAAUGACCCGCAUUUCUCGAACAUCCGCCAAACAGCGCAGAAGACACUUUUGAGUGUCGAGUUGACACUCGAACGUCCCCUAUGCCCGUCUGAUCUCAUGAAGUCCCCUCUGACCUUAAGGACCACAUCGCCACUUUACGCGUCUAUAGUCCUCCUUGUGGCCACCGCUUCCGCCCAGAGACCCUUCAUUGACUGCGACUCUUCGCUUUCGCACCCAUCGCUUGUCCUAAUCUAUGGGACCAUCAGUUAGCUUA